This 425-nucleotide ribosomal RNA is filed under the name uncultured bacterium. RNAcentral's name for it is "bacterial SSU rRNA". It matches the Rfam family "Bacterial small subunit ribosomal RNA", at positions 354 to 796 of the family's 1533-position model. The record is from RNAcentral.
GUGGGGAAUAUUGGACAAUGGGCGAAAGCCUGAUCCAGCCAUGCCGCGUGAACGAUGAAGGCCUUCGGGUUGUAAAGUUCUUUAGCCGAUGAUUAUAAUGACUGUAGUCGGAAAAUAAGCCCCGACUAACUUCGUGCCAGCAGCCGCGGUAAUACGAAGGGGGCGAGCGUUAUUCGGAAUCACUGGGCGUAAAGCGUGCGUAGGCGGUUUUGUAAGUUAGGAGUGAAAGCCCAGGGCUCAACCUUGGAAUUGCUCUUAAAACUGCAAGGCUCGAAUCUCGGAGAGGAUAGCGGAAUUUCCAGUGUAGCAGUGAAAUGCGUAGAUAUUGGAAGGAACACCAGUGGCGUAAGCGGCUAUCUGGACGAGUAUUGACGCUGAGGCACGAAAGCGUGGGGAUCAAACAGGAUUAGAAACCCUUGUAGUCC